UAAAUCUCGUGCCAGCCACCGCGGUUAUACGAGAGACUCCAGUUGACAGCCACGGCGUAAAGAGUGGUUAGGAGAACUAAAUAACUAAAGCCAAAGACCUCCUAAGCCGUUCUACGCACCCCGGAGGCACGAAGUCCUUCUACGAAAGUGGCUUUAUUCAUAAACCUGACCCCACGAAAGCUAAGAAACAAACUAGGAUUAGAUACCCCACUA
Molecule: ribosomal RNA, 213 nt
Filed under: Iguanodectes geisleri
Lineage: Eukaryota; Metazoa; Chordata; Actinopteri; Characiformes; Iguanodectidae
Description: partial small subunit ribosomal RNA
Source: RNAcentral